This 353-nucleotide ribosomal RNA is filed under the name Escherichia coli. RNAcentral's name for it is "partial 23S ribosomal RNA". It matches the Rfam family "Bacterial large subunit ribosomal RNA", at positions 1391 to 1746 of the family's 2925-position model. The record is from RNAcentral. Lineage: Bacteria; Pseudomonadati; Pseudomonadota; Gammaproteobacteria; Enterobacterales; Enterobacteriaceae.
CUAAGGCGAGGCCGAAAGGCGUAGUCGAUGGGAAACAGGUUAAUAUUCCUGUACUUGGUGUUACUGCGAAGGGGGGACGGAGAAGGCUAUGUUGGCCGGGCGACGGUUGUCCCGGUUUAAGCGUGUAGGCUGGUUUUCCAGGCAAAUCCGGAAAAUCAAGGCUGAGGCGUGAUGACGAGGCACUACGGUGCUGAAGCAACAAAUGCCCUGCUUCCAGGAAAAGCCUCUAAGCAUCAGGUAACAUCAAAUCGUACCCCAAACCGACACAGGUGGUCAGGUAGAGAAUACCAAGGCGCUUGAGAGAACUCGGGUGAAGGAACUAGGCAAAAUGGUGCCGUAACUUCGGGAGAAGG